This is a long non-coding RNA of Cervus elaphus (red deer), 576 nucleotides long. RefSeq lists it as uncharacterized. The transcript has 5 exons. The record is from RefSeq and is a predicted model, not a curated record. Lineage: Eukaryota; Metazoa; Chordata; Mammalia; Artiodactyla; Cervidae.
UGAGCAGCUAACACUAGGGGGCAGUCCUGCCAGGUCGAGGGACCCAGUGGCCUCUACUGGGCCUGACCUCUCACCCACACGCCCUGGAGAACAGACCCUGCAAACAGCUGGGGCCUGAAGGAGGAUCUGAUGAGCCAAGAGCCAGACAAGAGGAGAGAAGAGAAAAGUGAGAAGCCCUGGGCACUCUAUUACUCCCAUUUGACAGAUGAGAACACUGAGGCUCAGGGAGAGGUGAUCUGAGCUAGGGUUUGAACCCAGGUUUCCGUGACUCUGGGGCCUUCCCUGGGCUGAGGAUAGCUCUGUGACUGUUGUCUGUCUGCUAUGCCCCCUGGAAUCCUGAGAUGGGGUUCUCAUCCUUGAGGAAAGGCUGGUGUGGGAACUUCUGCCCACCCCUGGGAGCCUCAGCAUCCCCAUCUGGAAAAUGGGAGCCUCUGUGAGAUCCUCCACGUACGGAAGGGGGACCGGCCGGCAGCGAAGCGAGGUCUCGCCAGAGGGCGCUGACGGCACGCGGGCCGCUCAACCGCGGCCGCCAGCACCGCCCACGCCUCUCCCAAGCAGCCGGGCCAGAGGCGCCCC